This 74-nucleotide transfer RNA is filed under the name Phytophthora infestans (potato late blight agent). RNAcentral's name for it is "tRNA-Lys". The stretch from base 9 to 66 matches the Rfam family "tRNA", at positions 8 to 63 of the family's 71-position model. From Rfam's summary of the family: Transfer RNA (tRNA) molecules are approximately 80 nucleotides in length. Their secondary structure includes four short double-helical elements and three loops (D, anti-codon, and T loops). Lineage: Eukaryota; Oomycota; Peronosporomycetes; Peronosporales; Peronosporaceae. The record is from RNAcentral.
ACACCGUCUAGCUCAGUCGGUAGAGCGCUGGCCUUUUAAGCCAGUGGUCGUGGGUUCGAGCCCCACGGGGGGUG